This 1023-nucleotide ribosomal RNA is filed under the name Triticum aestivum (bread wheat). RNAcentral describes it as "partial small subunit ribosomal RNA". The record is from RNAcentral. Lineage: Eukaryota; Viridiplantae; Streptophyta; Magnoliopsida; Poales; Poaceae.
AUGGCCAUCCACAAGGCUUUGCUUCUUGCCAUCCUCGGUUGCAUCUGCCUCUGUGGUACAGUCAUUGCAGCUCGUGAGCUGAAUGAUGACUUGUUGAUGGUGGCGAAGCAUGAGAACUGGAUGGCUCAGUAUGGCCGUGUGUACAAGGACACCACUGAGAAGGCACGUCGGUUCGAGGUUUUCAAAGGCAACGUCGAGUUCAUUGAAACAUUCAAUGCCCAAAAUCACAAGUUCUGGCUUGGCGUCAACCAAUUUGCUGAUAUCACAAAUGAUGAGUUCAAGACAACCAACACAAACAAGGGAUUCAAAGCAAACUCCAUGAGAGUUCUUUCUUCUGGAUUCAGGUAUGAGAAUUUGAGUUUGGAUGCCCUUCCAGCAACGGUGGACUGGAGGGCCAAGGGAGCCGUCACUCCUGUCAAGGAUCAAGGCCAGUGUGGCUGCUGUUGGGCAUUUUCUGCUGUUGCCGCGACAGAGGGCAUUGUAAAACUGAAAACCGGGAAGUUGAUCUCACUGUCGGAGCAAGAGUUGGUUGACUGUGAUGUUCAUGGUCAAGAUCAAGGCUGCGAGGGAGGACUCAUGGAUGAUGCCUUCAAAUUCAUUAUCAAGAAUGGAGGCCUUACUAUGGAGUCAAGCUACCCAUAUACUGCAGCUGACGGCAAGUGCAAGGCUGGAUCCAACAGUGCCGCAACCAUCACCGGCUUUGAGGAUGUGCCUGCCAAUAACGAGGGUGCCCUUAUGAAGGCGGUGGCAAACCAACCAGUGUCUGUAGCUGUGGACGGAGGAGACAUGACGUUCCAAUUCUACUCUGGUGGGGUGAUGACUGGGUCCUGCGGCACUGACUUGGACCAUGGAAUUGCAGCCAUUGGAUAUGGAAAGACUAGUGAUGGCACGAGCUAUUGGUUGAUGAAGAAUUCAUGGGGCACAACUUGGGGCGAAGAUGGGUACUUGAGAAUGGAGAAAGACAUUGCAGACAAGAAGGGCAUGUGUGGUCUUGCCAUGGAGCCUUCUUACCCAACAAAAUAG